RNAcentral lists this ribosomal RNA (457 nucleotides) under uncultured bacterium. RNAcentral's name for it is "partial 16S ribosomal RNA". It matches the Rfam family "Bacterial small subunit ribosomal RNA", at positions 338 to 795 of the family's 1533-position model. The record is from RNAcentral.
CAUACGGGUGGCAGCAGUGGGGAAUAUUGCACAAUGGGGGAAACCCUGAUGCAGCGACGCCGCGUGAGUGAAGAAGUAUUUCGGUACGUAAAGCUCUAUCAGCAGGGAAGAAAAAAAGUCCUUUGGACUUUGGACGGUACCUGACCAAGAAGCCCCGGCUAACUACGUGCCAGCAGCCGCGGUAAUACGGAGGGGGCAAGCGUUAUCCGGAUUGACUGGGUGUAAAGGGAGCGUAGACGGCAGGGCAAGUCUGGAGUGAAAUGGCGGGGCCCAACCCCGGAACUGCUUUGGAGACUGUGCAGCGGGAGUGCAUGGGAGGUAAGCGGAAUUCCUAGUGUAGCGGUGAAAUGCGUAGAUAUUAGGAGGAACGCCAGUGGCGAGGGCAGCUUACUGGACUGUAACUGACGUUGAGGCUCGAAAGCGUGGGGAGCAAACAGGAUUAGAUACCCUAGUAGUC